Haliotis rubra (blacklip abalone) is the source of this 941-nucleotide long non-coding RNA. RefSeq lists it as uncharacterized. Lineage: Eukaryota; Metazoa; Mollusca; Gastropoda; Lepetellida; Haliotidae. The record is from RefSeq and is a predicted model, not a curated record. The transcript has 2 exons.
AUGGAUGAUCGCCUUUGGGGUGAUCACAGCUCUCCUGCUUUGUGUCAUCAUAAUCCUUGUUAUAUAUUUCAAGGUUGUUCAGCCAGCAAAGACACAGAAAUCACGGGGAGAAGGCCUUGCAUUAGAGUUGUCCUUGAGAGGUACAGGGCAGAGUGAGGACAUCCCCUACGAUGAAGUAGCAUGUGGAUCUACCAGUGAUUACCAGAAUACACAUACGAAUAGAUAUUAUGAGAAUGUAGAUACCAGAAAUCAACACACGUAUGAAUCGUUGGCCAGUCAAGUAAAUGACCGCGACAUGCAUUUGUACGAAACUGUGCAGGCACGCUUGUGAGUAUGAGUGAGUAUGACUUUACUCCACUUUUAGCAAUAUUCCAGCAAUAUCACAGCGGACGACACCAGAGAUGAGCUUCACGCAUUGUACCCAUGUGGGGAAUUGAACCACCACGGUCUUCGGUGUGAUGAGCGGACGCUUUAACCAUUAGGCUACCCCUACCCACCUUGUGAAUAUGAAGUUACCACGCACAUUCAAUAUGUAUACUCUCUUCAAUAUCAAUGCUGUACCAAUACGAUUGUAAAAUACAUCAUUGUGCUGUAUGUAAUUUGAUCGCAUGUAUUCCCCAUUUAUUUGUAAAGUUGUAUUUGUUCCACCCGGGAAGUGAAACGAAUCCAGUGAACCAGAUCACUUACUCUAGAAACAGACAAAACAGCUCUACAAAAACACAUACAAAAUUUCUCAUUCUCAAAGGUUUCACAUUGUGCGCGCUUGGCGACAACAUUACCCUGAAUUUGUUUAUAUUUUUUGAAUAUGCUGCAUGUGUAUUGGUGACCGUUUCCUGGUCCUUGAUUGCAACCGUCACAAAUACAUGCAAGUGCGAGUCAAUUGUUCACUUGAAUGAGUACGAUACAGGAACUUAUAAUACAGAUCAAAAUAGGGAAGAGCA